CGUGUGGUUCUAUUUUGUUGGUUUUUGGAGUCGCCGUAAUGAUUAAUAGGGACAGUCGGGGGCAUCAGUAUUCAAUUGUCAGAGGUGAAAUUCUUGGAUUUAUUGAAGACUAACUACUGCGAAAGCAUUUGCCAAGGAUGUUUUCAUUGAUAAGGAACGAAAGUUGGGGGAUCGAAGACGAUCAGAUACCGUCGUAGUCUCAACUAUAAACUAUGCCAACUAGGGAUCGGACGAUGUUAUUUGAUGACUCGUUCGGCACCUUUCGAGAAAUCAAAGUGCUUGGGCUCCAGGGGGAGUAUGGUCGCAAGGCUGAAACUUAAAGAAAUUGACGGAAGGGCACCACCAGGGGUGGAGCCUGCGGCUUAAUUUGACUCAACACGG
This 381-nucleotide ribosomal RNA is filed under the name uncultured fungus. RNAcentral describes it as "SSU rRNA". It matches the Rfam family "Eukaryotic small subunit ribosomal RNA", at positions 827 to 1208 of the family's 1831-position model. The record is from RNAcentral. Lineage: Eukaryota; Fungi.